This 376-nucleotide unclassified non-coding RNA is filed under the name soil metagenome. RNAcentral's name for it is "partial contains 5.8S ribosomal RNA, internal transcribed spacer 2, and large subunit ribosomal RNA". The stretch from base 1 to 120 matches the Rfam family "5.8S ribosomal RNA", at positions 35 to 154 of the family's 154-position model. The record is from RNAcentral.
GAUGAAGAACGCAGCGAAAUGCGAUAAGUAAUGUGAAUUGCAGAAUUCAGUGAAUCAUCGAAUCUUUGAACGCAUCUUGCGCUCCUUGGUAUUCUGAGGAGCAUGCCUGUUUGAGUGUCAUUAAAUUCUCAACUACACUGACUUUGAAUUGGUGUGGCUUGGAUUUGGGGGGAAAAUUGUUGUGGGCUUUUUGUAUAGUCUGCUCCCCUGAAAUUGAUUAGCGGUACCUUUGUGGAACUGUCUACAGGUGUGAUAAUUAUCUACAUCUUAGACAUCUGCUGGAAUGCUGCUUUCUAAACCUUACUUGUAUUGACAAUCUUGACCUCAAAUCAGGUAGGGAUACCCGCUGAACUUAAGCAUAUCAAUAAGCGGAGGA